GACGUAGGGGGCAAGCGUUGUCCGGAAUUACUGGGCGUAAAGGGCGUGUAGGCGGUACGAUACGUAGCGGUUUUAAGCCUCCGGCUCACCCGGAGGAGGGCGGCUAAACGGUCGCACUGGAGGGCAGGAGAGGUGCAUGGAAUUCCUAGUGGAGCGGUGAAAUGCGUAGAGAUUAGGAAGAACACCAGUGGCGAAGGCGAUGCACUGGCCUGACCCUGACGCUGAGGCGCGACAGCGUGGGGAGCGAACGGG
RNAcentral lists this ribosomal RNA (252 nucleotides) under uncultured Sulfobacillus sp. Its description in RNAcentral is "partial 16S ribosomal RNA". It matches the Rfam family "Bacterial small subunit ribosomal RNA", at positions 524 to 776 of the family's 1533-position model. The record is from RNAcentral. Lineage: Bacteria; Bacillati; Bacillota; Clostridia; Eubacteriales; Clostridiales Family XVII. Incertae Sedis.